CUCGCACACCGUCCAGGGCUCUGCGCCUCCGCCCCGGGUCGGCUCCUCCAAGAGUCGUUUGUUUUUUCUCUUUUUAUUGCAAAAGGAGCUUGAAGCUCCAUGUGGCCCGGAUCCCUUGAGCAUCGGGGUCCCAGGCACAAGUGACGGGCGCCUCGACCCCUGGGGGAAAGAGGGACCUUAGGCGCCAAGAGCGUUAUUUCUGGGGAGGAAGGGUCCCCGGUACCCUGAGGAUGUCCUCGCCGCAGAAGAGCUCUCACAGCGGCUCCCGUGGGGCCUGGGAGGCCUCUCUGAGGGGGAGCAGAGCUGAGGUCUAACAUGAGCCCUAGCCGCCCACAUGGGGCGGACGCGCGGACAGGAGGGGCGCUCCUGAUGGAUUCUUUACCACUAAGCCACCUGGGAAGCCCAACAAAGUGUGAAAGAAAUAGAAU
This is a long non-coding RNA of Bos taurus (domestic cattle), 428 nucleotides long. The record is from Ensembl. NCBI's taxonomy places the organism in Eukaryota, Metazoa, Chordata, Mammalia, Artiodactyla, Bovidae.